UACGUAGGGCGCAAGCGUUAUCCGGAAUUAUUGGGCGUAAAGAGCUCGUAGGCGGUUUGUCGCGUCUGCCGUGAAAGUCCGGGGCUCAACUCCGGAUCUGCGGUGGGUACGGGCAGGCUAGAGUGAUGUAGGGGAGACUGGAAUUCCUGGUGUAGCGGUGAAAUGCGCAGAUAUCCGGAAGAACACCGAUGGCGAAGGCAACCACCUGGGCCUGCACUGACGCUGAGACGCGAAAGCGUGGGGAGCAAACAGG
This 253-nucleotide ribosomal RNA is filed under the name uncultured bacterium. Its description in RNAcentral is "partial 16S ribosomal RNA". It matches the Rfam family "Bacterial small subunit ribosomal RNA", at positions 524 to 776 of the family's 1533-position model. The record is from RNAcentral.